UUGUCUUUGUGGACAACAACGCUCAUCUGAAGGGACUACCGUCAUAUCUUUAUAACAAAGUCAUCGGCUGCAGUGGAUGUGGUCUAGCUGCGCAGAUCUCUGACGUGAAGCAGCUCUGUCUGACACUGGGAGAUGUGACUGUUCCUCUGCCCUCUGAACUGAAGACCAUCGGCUCUGAGACUGACCAUGUGUUGCCUCUGGAAGAGCUGGCAUGCAGAGUCCUACAUGUGGCCUACAACAGGACCAGUAAGGAUGUGAAGUUCCUGACACCAUUCCUGUUGCCCAAGAGUCUGCUAGAUGUGGUCCAGUGGCCUCUGGGUCAUUGUCACCGCUGCAGUCAGCCCAUGUUCACCAUCGUCUACCCUAA
Long non-coding RNA from Sinocyclocheilus rhinocerous, 367 nucleotides. RefSeq lists it as uncharacterized. The record is from RefSeq and is a predicted model, not a curated record. NCBI's taxonomy places the organism in Eukaryota, Metazoa, Chordata, Actinopteri, Cypriniformes, Cyprinidae. The transcript is spliced from 3 exons.